Molecule: ribosomal RNA, 745 nt
Filed under: uncultured bacterium
Lineage: Bacteria
Description: bacterial SSU rRNA
Rfam family: Bacterial small subunit ribosomal RNA
Source: RNAcentral
AACGAACGCUGGCGGCGUGCUUAACACAUGCAAGUCGAACGAGAAAAUCCUGGCUUGCCAGGAUGAGUAAAGUGGCGCACGGGUGAGUAACACGUGAGUAAUCUGCCCCUAAGUUAGGAAUAACAUUGCGAAAGCGAUGCUAAUACCUGGUAAGCCCACGACUUCUUCGGUAGAUGUGGGAAAAGGUGGCCUCUGACAUAAGCUAUCACUUAGGGAUGAGCUCGCGGACCAUUAGCUUGUUGGUAGGGUAAUGGCCUACCAAGGCGAUGAUGGUUAGCUGGCCUGAGAGGGUGGCCAGCCACACUGGAACUGAGACACGGUCCAGACUCCUACGGGAGGCAGCAGUGGGGAAUCUUGCGCAAUGGGGGAAACCCUGACGCAGCAACGCCGCGUGAGUGACGAAGGCCUUCGGGUCGUAAAGCUCUGUCAGAUGGAAAGAAUUAGUUCGCUGAAAAUAUUGGCGAGUGAUGACGGUACCAUCAGAGGAAGCACCGGCUAACUCCGUGCCAGCAGCCGCGGUAAUACGGAGGGUGCAAGCAUUGUUCGGAAUUAUUGGGCGUAAAGCGCGUGUAGGCGGGAAGGCAGGUCAGGUGUGAAAUCCCUUGGCUUAACCAAGGAACUGCAUCUGAAACCAUUUUCCUCGAGUACGAUAGGGGAGGGCGGAAUUCCCAGUGUAGAGGUGAAAUUCAUAGAUAUUGGGAGGAACACCAGUGGCGAAGGCGACCCUCUGGAUCGAUACUGACGC